AAAAAAUAGGUCUCAGUUCGGAUUGUAGGCUGCAACCCGCCUGCAUGAAGUUGGAAUUGCUAGUAAUCGCGGAUCAGCAUGCCGCGGUGAAUACGUUCCCGGGCCUUGUACACACCGCCCGUCACACCAUGGGAGCCGGUAAUACCCGAAGUCAGUAGCCUAACCGCAAGGAGGGCGCUGCCGAAGGUAGGAUUGGCGACUGGGGUGAAGUCGUAACAAGGUAUC
Molecule: ribosomal RNA, 225 nt
Filed under: uncultured bacterium
Lineage: Bacteria
Description: partial 16S ribosomal RNA
Rfam family: Bacterial small subunit ribosomal RNA
Source: RNAcentral